GGGAGAGACGGAGAAUGAGAGCCAGGGACAACAACGUCACAUUAGAAAGUCUUUGCCAAUACAGCAUGAUGAAGAAGAUGCUGAAGGAGGAGAUGAGGCAACCUGAAAAGUCUGAAACUGGAAGUCAACUCAGCCAACUGAAGUUCCCAGAAACUGCAGGACCACAGUAAUGAGAAGAAAAAUGCUGACAGUGUUGAGAAGAGGGGAAAAAAAGGCAUACUUGUGGCGGGGCGUGGUUUGCGGUGCCGCUGAAGGGGAGGCGGGCACACCAGAGCGGCAUCUGCAAUCACGCUGCAUAAAAUGGGAACUGGGUCCUAUCAUCUUGUUGUUGUUGGUAUGUCCAGCAGUGAGCUGCAAAGCCUCGGCCAUGUGUUUGUAACAGCAACCAGUGAA
Molecule: long non-coding RNA, 393 nt
Organism: Oreochromis aureus
Lineage: Eukaryota; Metazoa; Chordata; Actinopteri; Cichliformes; Cichlidae
Exons: 3
Source: RefSeq, a predicted model, not a curated record